RNAcentral lists this ribosomal RNA (301 nucleotides) under uncultured bacterium. RNAcentral's name for it is "partial 16S ribosomal RNA". It matches the Rfam family "Bacterial small subunit ribosomal RNA", at positions 509 to 807 of the family's 1533-position model. The record is from RNAcentral.
CAGCCGCCACGGGAAUACGUAGGGUGCAAGCGUUAAUCGGAAUUACUGGGCGUAAAGCGUGCGUAGGUGGUUGUUUAAGUCUGCUGUGAAAGCCCUGGGCUCAACCUGGGAAUUGCAGUGGAUACUGGGCAACUAGAGUAAGGUAGAGGAUAGUGGAAUUUCCGGUGUAGCAGUGAAAUGCGUAGAGAUCGGAAGGAACAUCUGUGGCGAAGGCGACUAUCUGGGCCAUUACUGACACUGAGGCACGAAAGCGUGGGGAGCAAACAGGAUUAGAUACCCGCGUAGUCCCUGUCUCUUAUAC